RNAcentral lists this ribosomal RNA (511 nucleotides) under uncultured bacterium. RNAcentral describes it as "bacterial SSU rRNA". It matches the Rfam family "Bacterial small subunit ribosomal RNA", at positions 29 to 518 of the family's 1533-position model. The record is from RNAcentral.
AACGAACGCUGGCGGCGUGCUUAACACAUGCAAGUCGAACGCGAAAGGGACUUCGGUCCUGAGUAAAGUGGCGCACGGGUGAGUAACGCGUAGAUAACCUGUCUUCAUGUCUGGAAUGAUACGCCGAAAGGGGUACUAAUACCGGAUAUUCUUGCUUUUCAUAAGUUAUGCAAGCAAAGGUGGCCUCUGCAUAUGCUACUGCAUGAAGAGGGGUCUGCGUACCAUUAGCUAGUAGGUGGGGUAAUGGCCUACCUAGGCGACGAUGGUUAGCGGGUCUGAGAGGAUGAUCCGCCACACUGGCACUGGAACACGGGCCAGACUCCUACGGGAGGCAGCAGUGAGGAAUAUUGCGCAAUGGGGGAAACCCUGACGCAGCGACGCCGCGUGAGUGAGGAAAGGCCUUCGGGUCGUAAAGCUCUGUCAAGAGGAAAGAAGUGUACAAUGGCUAAUACCUGUUGUAUUUGACGGUACCUCUAAAGGAAGCACCGGCUAACUCCGUGCCAGCAGCAGC